AUGGAGGAGAGGGCGAGAUAUUGUAGAGAGAUUUUCUUGAAUUCUUUGGUGGAUAAAGAUGAAGAUAGACAAGUUCAGAGAGAAAGACUGAAGAAGAGAUUUUUUUCUUAUGAUUUUUAUGUUGGGGAUUCUUCAUCUCGGUUGAAGAAUGAUGAAGAGAGUGAAGAAUUGGUUAUAGGAGAAAGAAUCAGACCUGGUGGAUGGUGGAAGGAAGAGCCAGUAAAAAGUUUGGGUUAUCACUAG
This is a non-coding RNA of Vicia faba (fava bean), 243 nucleotides long. The record is from the annotation of a GenBank genome assembly. Lineage: Eukaryota; Viridiplantae; Streptophyta; Magnoliopsida; Fabales; Fabaceae.